RNAcentral lists this ribosomal RNA (165 nucleotides) under Malus toringoides. RNAcentral's name for it is "5.8S ribosomal RNA". The stretch from base 3 to 150 matches the Rfam family "5.8S ribosomal RNA". Rfam says of the family: 5.8S ribosomal RNA (5.8S rRNA) is a component of the large subunit of the eukaryotic ribosome. It is transcribed by RNA polymerase I as part of the 45S precursor that also contains 18S and 28S rRNA. The record is from RNAcentral. Lineage: Eukaryota; Viridiplantae; Streptophyta; Magnoliopsida; Rosales; Rosaceae.
CGGCAACGGAUAUCUCGGCUCUCGCAUCGAUGAAGAACGUAGCGAAAUGCGAUACUUGGUGUGAAUUGCAGAAUCCCGUGAACCAACGAGUCUUUGAACGCAAGUUGCGCCCGAAGCCAUCAGGCCGAGGGCACGCCUGCCUGGGCGUCACACGUCGUUGCCCCC